Long non-coding RNA from Budorcas taxicolor (takin), 300 nucleotides. RefSeq lists it as uncharacterized. The transcript has 3 exons. The record is from RefSeq and is a predicted model, not a curated record. NCBI's taxonomy places the organism in Eukaryota, Metazoa, Chordata, Mammalia, Artiodactyla, Bovidae.
GGGAAUGAAGGGAAAUAACUGACUGAAUGGUCGUUGCUUUUUAAGUUUCAAACCGACAUUCCAGGCGGGUUGUGCCCGAGCCAGCCUCGGGCUUUCAGACCUUCAUAGCCUGGUCCUGAGAAGGUAGAGCUCUCAGCUUCUCCCUGGGCUCCCAUGGACCAGAAACAAAGCAGAAACGCGAAUUCCCGGCUCAGGCGUUUACUCGAAGAUGGGCAAAGUGAGGCGAAGCAGGAGGGGAUAGGAUGUGACUGAGCCGUACAGCCUCCAGCAUCUUGCUCCUGGACGGACUGGAUCCUACAG